UGGGGAAUUUUGGACAAUGGGCGAAAGCCUGAUCCAGCAAUGCCGCGUGUGUGAAGAAGGCCUUCGGGUUGUAAAGCACUUUUGUCCGGAAAGAAAUCCUUGGCUCUAAUACAGUCGGGGGAUGACGGUACCGGAAGAAUAAGCACCGGCUAACUACGUGCCAGCAGCCGCGGUAAUACGUAGGGUGCAAGUGUUAAUCGGAAUUACUGGGCGUAAAGCGUGCGCAGGCGGUUUGCUAAGACCGAUGUGAAAUCCCCGGGCUCAACCUGGGAACUGCAUUGGUGACUGGCAGGCUAGAGUAUGGCAGAGGGGGGUAGAAUUCCACGUGUAGCAGUGAAUGCGUAGAGAUGUGGAGGAAUACCGAUGGCGAAGGCAGCCCCCUGGGCCAAUACUGACGCUCAUGCGCGAAAGCGUGGGGAGCAAACAGGAUUAGAUACCCUGGUAGUCCACGCCCUAAACGAUGUCAACUAGUUGUUGGGGAUUCAUUUCCUUAGUAACGUAGCUAACGCGUGAAGUUGACCGCCUGGGGAGUACGGUCGCAAGAUUAAAACUCAAAUGAAUUGACGGGGUCAUAGCUGUUUCCU
Molecule: ribosomal RNA, 584 nt
Filed under: uncultured bacterium
Lineage: Bacteria
Description: partial 16S ribosomal RNA
Rfam family: Bacterial small subunit ribosomal RNA
Source: RNAcentral